Molecule: ribosomal RNA, 471 nt
Filed under: uncultured bacterium
Lineage: Bacteria
Description: partial 16S ribosomal RNA
Rfam family: Bacterial small subunit ribosomal RNA
Source: RNAcentral
GACGAACGCUGGCGGCGUGCUUAACACAUGCAAGUCGAACGGAAAGGCCCUGCUUGCCGGGUGCUCGAGUGGCGAACGGGUGAGUAACACGUGGGUGAUCUGCCCCGUACUUUGGGAUAAGCCUGGGAAACUGGGUCUAAUACUGGAUAGGACCAUGCUGCAGGUGGUGUGGUGGAAAGAUUUUUUCGGUCAGGGAUGAGCUCGCGGCCUAUCAGCUUGUUGGUGGGGUAAUGGCCUACCAAGGCGUCGACGGGUAGCCGGCCUGCGAGGGUGGACGGCCACAUGGGGACUGAGAUACGGGCCAGACUCCGACGGGAGGCAGCAGCGGAGAAUAGUGCACAAUGGGCGCAAGCCUGAUGCAGCGACGCCGCGCUGGGGAUGGCGGCCUUCGGGUUGUAGACUCCUUUCAGCCAUGACGAAGCCUCUUUUGGGGUGACGGUAGUGGUAGAAGAAGCACCGGCUAACUACGUG